Molecule: ribosomal RNA, 253 nt
Filed under: uncultured bacterium
Lineage: Bacteria
Description: partial 16S ribosomal RNA
Rfam family: Bacterial small subunit ribosomal RNA
Source: RNAcentral
UACGAAGGGGGCUAGCGUUGUUCGGAAUUACUGGGCGUAAAGCGCACGUAGGCGGGUUUGUAAGUAGAGGGUGAAAUCCCAGGGCUCAACUCUGGAACUGCCUUCUAGACUGCAAGCCUGGAGGUCAGGAGAGGCGAGUGGAAUACCGAGUGUAGAGGUGAAAUUCGUAGAUAUUCGGUGGAACACCAGUGGCGAAGGCGACUCGCUGGACUGAUACUGACGCUGAGGUGCGAAAGCGUGGGGAGCUAACAGG